RNAcentral lists this long non-coding RNA (364 nucleotides) under Carica papaya (papaya). RNAcentral's name for it is "long non-coding RNA (CPAP_LNC002689)". Lineage: Eukaryota; Viridiplantae; Streptophyta; Magnoliopsida; Brassicales; Caricaceae. The record is from RNAcentral.
UUUCUUCAACCCCACAUAUACACUUCUCCCUUUCUUUUUUAACAUCUCUCUUUAUAUAUGUAUAUGCUUUGAAUUCAAUAAGAUGUCAUCACUUUCGUCUGAAAAUGAGAGUGGAAAACUCAUUGGUUGCGAAAUAUAACCAUACGCGCGAAAAGGUGAAAAAGAUGUAGAUCAAAACUCAACCAAUAAAGGAACAAAAUUGUCCAAUAUUAUCAACCAAAUACUAAAGAUUAUUGGGGUAAGUUUUGAAAUAUAUAGAUAUGUGAAGGUUUUAAUGGCUUUUUUCAAAAUUCGUUAAAAUGAUCUAUUUUGGAACAUAAAAGGGCGAAGGAGUUGAAAGCAAAAUUGAAAGAAUAAGAGAAGG